Molecule: unclassified non-coding RNA, 465 nt
Filed under: Hevea brasiliensis (rubber tree)
Lineage: Eukaryota; Viridiplantae; Streptophyta; Magnoliopsida; Malpighiales; Euphorbiaceae
Source: RNAcentral
GUUGUGAUUGAACCAAGACAUAGCCCAUAGGGAAUGCUGUAAUAAAUGAAAAAAUGUUAUGAUUCUCUGCUUGAUUGUAAGCAGCAAAGCGAGGAUUCUGAUGCAAAUUUUCAGAUUUCUUCUGUAAUAUCGGUUUCAUGCCUACUGUUAUUUACUUAGAUAUUAUAAUGUAGUUAUGAUUACAUUACUAUUCUGAUUGAUUCUGAUAAAUUCCAUCACUGCAUCCCAUUUCUUUUCUCAUUAUCUUCUUUGUUACAUUUUGUUUUGUAGCAUUUGAAACACAGUCUUAAUGUUUAUGAAAACUGUAUAUCUUCAUCUUGUCUUUGAUAGAACAAUGCCAUAAGUGAUUACUCUUUUUCUGAGCUGGUCAUUUUUACUGUCAAACAAUAUUUUUGUGCAUGUUUUCAAUUUUUUGCCAAAAGUGAAACUGGUAAACAUCCUUAUUUUCUCAACUAGAGAGACUCU